UUGUGCUUAUGCCCAUAGACCGGUGUUGCUAUCAGCUUUAGUCAGAAAUGGAAACAGAUGUUUUGCAAAGGAUAGUUUAUCUUAGAGUCCAACUGUAGCUGACUUUCCUGAGAACAGGCAACUGUUGCUAAGUCAUAGUGGCUCAACCAUUAGUCAUAGAUGGACAUCAAUAUCACCCUCUCCAAGGCUCAGGGAACAUUGCAGAAGAGAUGACAAACAUAAUGUACAAGGAGCUGAAGAGGUGAUGGCUCAUUGGUAAAAGCAUUAGCUGUUCUUUCAGAAGGACAAAGUUCAAUUUCCGGUACCCAUGACAGGCUCCUCUGAAUUUGCUGGAGCAGAGUCCUCAGUUUCCCAGCAUCCAGGAGGGGCAAGAUUUCACGGCAUACAGCAACUCCUCAAGAACUUCCCCCCAAUUUUACUGGUACCGACAGGUGCCCAGGGAAGGUCCUGUCAUCCUGACGACGACACCAGUCAGGAGUGGAGAAGUAAAAGAGGAACGGAAGAUAACCGCAGGAGUUUGGUGAAGCAAGGAAGAACAGCUUCCUGUUUGUCGUCAGAGCCCAGCUUAGAAAUGCAGGAAUCUUCUCUGUGCAGGAGCUCACUGCUCUGGUGGCCUCUACUACCUGUCCCCAACCCCUGCAGCUGCAGACUCUUACCACUCUGUCACGAACCUCUAGCUCUUCCUCACCAGCUAUUGGCAUGAGCAAUGGUGGCAUCCCAACCCCUCCUUGCCUCCUGGACCCAUUUUUUCCUGCCUUUCCAGAAAACAUGGACCUCAAACAUGCCUUCUCCUAUAAGAUGAGGCCGUGCAUGUGGCCUCCUUCUAAGAAUCAAUAACAAUGUCAGCAAACAGUCACCCAAGCAUGGGCUUCGCUACAGAAAGAUUCUGACCCAUGAUGUGGUCACGGAUCUCAGGACCGCCUACAGAUGUGUUUCUGAGUAAUGAGUUGUGAUCCCAGAUCUGUUUUCCAUGGUGAUUUCACUGUUGUGGUAAAACCCUAAGGUUCAGUCUUCUCCAGCCUCUUUUCCUCUUGCCGCACAGUCGCACAGCCAUGAAGAAACGUGCAAGUGUAACUGUGACUGCAGCUCCACCUCGGGAGAGCCUCAUGUCACCCCAGAUGAAUCUGGACAUUUUAAAGAGCCAGGAGGCCAUUGAAUCACUUGCUACUGUAGCCAACCUUAGUCCUGACUACAGUAAGAGAUGCUCUGCAGUUUCUCUUUGCAUGUGUGAGUACAGUGGGAGUGUAAGACAUUGUGCUAUUUUGCAAAAUAAGAGAUCUUUUAAUGGAUGUUACAUAUUUCACAAAAUAUUGAUAUUCUUAUAAUGAAAAAAACUCUCAUUAGCAUGACCUUAUUUUUAAAAGCCCACAUCAAUUUCCUACAAUUAUGGAAGACUCUGGGCUCCAGUUUCCUCUAAGUCUUGUGAUUGAGCCAUUAUCAAUAUAAUUUCUCUUCCUCCUCUCCUCCAAGUCCUUCAUCUCACCUCUCCCCCAGACCCUCCCCACCCCUACUCCCCUGUCCAUUGC
This 1526-nucleotide small RNA is filed under the name Rattus norvegicus (Norway rat). Its description in RNAcentral is "uncharacterized LOC102547139". The record is from RNAcentral. Lineage: Eukaryota; Metazoa; Chordata; Mammalia; Rodentia; Muridae.